GGCCGGGCUAGCUAGCUACAAAUGACAAACUUAGCUUAACAGUUAAAUAAGUCGUUUUAGCUUAAAGUUGCGUUUUUUAAUGUAUUAUUUCCUACUUUCAUGUGAUUAGUAUAACAGUGUAGAUGACAAGAGACCCCGUUUUCCAAGAUAAUGUUCAUAUAUUGUUCAGGCUUUGAGUUGGAGUCGUCGUUUUGAGGCCACAGACUUCAGAGGAGAUUUCAGAAGCGUCAGCAGUCAUCUCUUCUUCAAGUAUGGAGGCCUGCUUCGGGCUAAAUAAAGAUAAAGAGAAGUUUUUCCGUCCCUUGAAGCCGACAGUCGCCAGUGGCUUCCCUCUCAUGAAGCCGUCUGGACCUGUGACCUAACGGCCUCCUACCCUGUACUUUAACCCAGCAAGCCUCCGAAAACCUCGCUCCUAUUUAUACCACACAGCCGAACGUUACCGCUCAUUAAAGCAGCUCUUGUGGUGCUGCCAGCUUGUUAGCAAUUUGUCUGAGGCAAGAGUCAUCAGGCGGCAAGUUGCGCAUGAAUUUAGACGCACAUUUAAACUGCAGACCAUACUAAAUCAUCGUUUAGUGUCUUUAGCACAUAGAGAGCUCAGUGUUAGAAGCAUCAGACUUUUAACAACUCGCUUCAGAGCCUCAUAAUCCUCGACUUCACAGUAAAUUUGCUACGGAUGUUUGUGCUUCCCAGAAGAUGCUCAUGAUCUGUAAUCACAGACAGGACAUUAGUUCCGCUUCAAACAGGGGAUAAACUCUGAUCCUGAUUAGCUUCACACACUUUUGGAUGUCUUUCUGGUUUUCCUGAGGUUUAGUUUUGUUUAAAUUAACGAAUUGGCUCAUUUUUAUAUUUGUAGCAUUCCUUCAGGUUUGUUUCCGUGUCGGAAGACCUCAACUAAACUCCAGUUUUUAGAUUCCUAAUGAAAUAAAUGGACACUAUCACGUUGUUUUCCACCCUUUUGAGAAUGCCAAGCAAAGCCGUGCAUAUUAUUUAAACCCUAAACUCCAAUUUUCGUCUCCAAAAACAACUUUUUCUUGCCCGUUGUGUAUUUAUCACCAUUCUCGCUUUUUGUUUAUUCAUCUACAGCUUUACUACCUUAUUAUCCCAUGUUUCAAACAACAUUCUGCUACUUUUUUCAGCUUAGACUAAAACUCAGACUCAAUCCAGCUGUUAUUGCCACCAAUUUUAUUGAGUUACAUGUUUUGUUGGUUAGAAUUUGUCAGCGAUUAGACACAUUUUGUUGGAAAUAUGCUCAGAAAUGCUACCUCAAGUGACAUUUUAUUGUUGAAUUGAAAUUCUGUUAAGUUGGUUGAGUUGCAGAGAGAUGAUUUUUAAGUCUUGCAGGUCAAAAGUCAAGUUAAAACCAGAUUCUUACUAUUAAAUGAUAAAAAGUUGUGUCAAAACUUCCAUAAGGAAACAUGUAAAACCAUUAAAAACUGGUAAAUGUA
Long non-coding RNA from Amphiprion ocellaris (clown anemonefish), 1445 nucleotides. The record is from Ensembl. NCBI's taxonomy places the organism in Eukaryota, Metazoa, Chordata, Actinopteri, Pomacentridae.